UGGUUCUGGCAUCGAUGAAGAACGCAGCGAAAUGCGAUAAGUAAUGUGAAUUGCAGAAUUCAGUGAAUCAUCGAAUUUUUGAACGCAUAUUGCACCUUAGAGUAUUCUUUAAGGUAUACUUGUUCGAGCGUCGUUUGAAUAAUAAAGCCGCAUAGCUUUUUGAUGGAAAUUUUUGGAAAUCGGUUAAUCUAACACCGGUUCCAAGUUCCAAAACAUAUUGGCAUUUGAAACAUGACAUAUCCGAAUACAGUGAAAAUGUAUGAAGUAACGCGAUGUUUACAGACGCCUAGUGAUUCUUUUCUCAAAAAUUGAAUUACACUCAUCUGAUACUCAAGUAUCAUUUAUCGUUUCGACCUCGAAUCAAGUAAGGUUACCCGCUGA
This 381-nucleotide unclassified non-coding RNA is filed under the name uncultured fungus. RNAcentral's name for it is "partial contains 5.8S ribosomal RNA and internal transcribed spacer 2". The stretch from base 1 to 133 matches the Rfam family "5.8S ribosomal RNA", at positions 22 to 154 of the family's 154-position model. Lineage: Eukaryota; Fungi. The record is from RNAcentral.